CGGGAUGUGGCUCAGUCUGGUAGAGCGCCGCGUUCGGGACGCGGAGAUCGGAGGUUCAAAUCCUCUCAUCCCGACCA
This 77-nucleotide transfer RNA is filed under the name Desulfovibrionaceae bacterium. Its description in RNAcentral is "tRNA-Pro". It matches the Rfam family "tRNA". Rfam says of the family: Transfer RNA (tRNA) molecules are approximately 80 nucleotides in length. Their secondary structure includes four short double-helical elements and three loops (D, anti-codon, and T loops). Further hydrogen bonds mediate the characteristic L-shaped molecular structure. tRNAs have two regions of fundamental functional importance: the anti-codon, which is responsible for specific mRNA codon recognition, and the 3' end, to which the tRNAs corresponding amino acid is attached (by aminoacyl-tRNA synthetases). tRNAs cope with the degeneracy of the genetic code in two manners: having more than one tRNA (with a specific anti-codon) for a particular amino acid; and 'wobble' base-pairing, i.e. permitting non-standard base-pairing at the 3rd anti-codon position. The record is from RNAcentral. Lineage: Bacteria; Pseudomonadati; Thermodesulfobacteriota; Desulfovibrionia; Desulfovibrionales; Desulfovibrionaceae. RNAcentral also lists the same sequence under 1 other name.